RNAcentral lists this long non-coding RNA (1199 nucleotides) under Homo sapiens (human). Its description in RNAcentral is "non-protein coding lnc-CXorf58-2:1". Lineage: Eukaryota; Metazoa; Chordata; Mammalia; Primates; Hominidae. The record is from RNAcentral.
CCUUGGCAUGUUGAAGGAAAACAAAAUGUAUUCUGCUAAUCAAGUCAUUAGUGACUUUGAAAGUGAUGGAUUAUAUCAAAAAACAGCAAAUAAUCAGAGAUAAAGAAGUAUAUUUUAAAGAUUAAAAAUAUUUUAUUUAAACUUUUCUUCAUAAACACUUUUAACAUUUUUUUCAAUUUAAAAACAGAAUGGAUAGCAUAAACAUGUUUGAAUAGAUUAUAUCCACGGCUUGGGAAAAAUUACCUGACAAAAAUGUAAAGGCUUUCAAAACAGGUAUAAAAGGCAAACCUUAAAUUAUUCUAAGAUUUUUAUAUCGGCCCUAGGAUUAUUUGACUACUGGCCCAAAAUGUACCUAAAGGUCAAAAUAUUUUUCUAUAGACAAAGUAUGCCCAAGAGGUAUAGGGCAUAUACAAGUUAGGUAGAAAAUAACCUCUCCCAAUCACCUCACUGGACCAUUCCUUCAGAAAGCAAACACCUAAUCCUUACUAUAUACUGACUAAUAACAUUUUAAAUGCAGUUGUUCCCAAAAUGUAAAAAGAAAACCAAAGAAUUUAAGGGAGAACAAAGCUGAUGGCAUUCUCCUCAAUGUUACUUGUGUAAUAUUGAAGUUAUACGGUGUACUGAAAGGAUAUGAUUUCCAUGAAUUUAUCUAUUCCAGUCUAUGCCUACUGAAUAUUUGACUUUAUAAACUCUGGAUAAACUAAUUUUUAGGACUUCCAUUUUUAAGAUAAAUCUCUUUUUAGAAGAUAUUUAUUCCCAAACCAACUCUAAAUGUAAUUGAACAAACAUAUGAUCUCUCAAAAUGUUCAGAAUACAAAAACAAAAAUCAAAAAUGUAUAACAGGCAAACAAGAAAACUGGCACUAGCAGUUUUACUGCCAUAUAGCCCUCAAUUAUAUCUGAUUUACACUAUUAUCUAUGUUGCAUUUUACUUCAGUCUAAAACUUUAAAUUAUGAAUUCUCAAAAGAGCUAGUCUCCUCUGAGAGAUAGCUUAUAAACUGAAAUAACAAUUUAUAUUAUAAACUGAAAUGUUAUGACCUACACCCACAUAUACAUAUAUAAAAAUAGUCCCACUGAACGUUUGACAUGUUUAGAUUAUGCAGCUCAAAUAAUCUGUUAUAAAAUAUUUUAAAGCUUAGUUUCAUGUAAUUAAGACAAAACUCCAUUUUUACCACUUCUCCCCACAUAAAGCGUGUGUC